AAUCAACGCUGGCGGCGUGCCUAACACAUGCAAGUCGCACGAGAAAGGGGAGCAAUCCCUGAGUAAAGUGGCGCACGGGUGAGUAACACGUGAAUCAUCUACCUCCGAGUGGGGAAUAACUGAGAGAAAUCUUAGCUAAUACCGCAUAACACUUACGAGUCAAAGCAGCAAUGCGCUUGGAGAGGAGUUCGCGGCCGAUUAGUUAGUUGGCGGGGUAANGGCCCACCAAGACGAUGAUCGGUAUCCGGCCUGAGAGGGCGCACGGACACACUGGAACUGAAACACGGUCCAGACUCCUACGGGAGGCAGCAGUGGGGAAUUUUGCGCAAUGGGGGAAACCCUGACGCAGCAACGCCGCGUGGAGGAUGAAGUAUCUUGGUACGUAAACUCCUUUCGAUUGGGAAGAUAAUGACGGUACCAAUAGAAGAAGCCCCGGCUAACUUCGUGCCAGCCGCCGCAGUAAC
RNAcentral lists this ribosomal RNA (464 nucleotides) under uncultured bacterium. RNAcentral describes it as "bacterial SSU rRNA". It matches the Rfam family "Bacterial small subunit ribosomal RNA", at positions 32 to 524 of the family's 1533-position model. The record is from RNAcentral.